This 169-nucleotide ribosomal RNA is filed under the name uncultured bacterium. RNAcentral's name for it is "partial 16S rRNA". It matches the Rfam family "Bacterial small subunit ribosomal RNA", at positions 350 to 511 of the family's 1533-position model. The record is from RNAcentral.
AGCAGUAGGGAAUCUUCCACAAUGGGCGCAAGCCUGAUGGAGCAACACCGCGUGAGUGAAGAAGGGUUUCGGCUCGUAAAGCUCUGUUGUUAAAGAAGAACACGUAUGAGAGUAACUGUUCAUACGUUGACGGUAUUUAACCAGAAAGUCACGGCUAACUACGUGCCGG